RNAcentral lists this ribosomal RNA (1434 nucleotides) under Salmonella enterica subsp. enterica serovar Welikade. RNAcentral describes it as "bacterial SSU rRNA". It matches the Rfam family "Bacterial small subunit ribosomal RNA". Lineage: Bacteria; Pseudomonadati; Pseudomonadota; Gammaproteobacteria; Enterobacterales; Enterobacteriaceae. The record is from RNAcentral.
ACGGGUGAGUAAUGUCUGGGAAACUGCCUGAUGGAGGGGGAUAACUACUGGAAACGGUGGCUAAUACCGCAUAACGUCGCAAGACCAAAGAGGGGGACCUUCGGGCCUCUUGCCAUCAGAUGUGCCCAGAUGGGAUUAGCUUGUUGGUGAGGUAACGGCUCACCAAGGCGACGAUCCCUAGCUGGUCUGAGAGGAUGACCAGCCACACUGGAACUGAGACACGGUCCAGACUCCUACGGGAGGCAGCAGUGGGGAAUAUUGCACAAUGGGCGCAAGCCUGAUGCAGCCAUGCCGCGUGUAUGAAGAAGGCCUUCGGGUUGUAAAGUACUUUCAGCGGGGAGGAAGGUGUUGUGGUUAAUAACCGCAGCAAUUGACGUUACCCGCAGAAGAAGCACCGGCUAACUCCGUGCCAGCAGCCGCGGUAAUACGGAGGGUGCAAGCGUUAAUCGGAAUUACUGGGCGUAAAGCGCACGCAGGCGGUCUGUCAAGUCGGAUGUGAAAUCCCCGGGCUCAACCUGGGAACUGCAUUCGAAACUGGCAGGCUUGAGUCUUGUAGAGGGGGGUAGAAUUCCAGGUGUAGCGGUGAAAUGCGUAGAGAUCUGGAGGAAUACCGGUGGCGAAGGCGGCCCCCUGGACAAAGACUGACGCUCAGGUGCGAAAGCGUGGGGAGCAAACAGGAUUAGAUACCCUGGUAGUCCACGCCGUAAACGAUGUCUACUUGGAGGUUGUGCCCUUGAGGCGUGGCUUCCGGAGCUAACGCGUUAAGUAGACCGCCUGGGGAGUACGGCCGCAAGGUUAAAACUCAAAUGAAUUGACGGGGGCCCGCACAAGCGGUGGAGCAUGUGGUUUAAUUCGAUGCAACGCGAAGAACCUUACCUGGUCUUGACAUCCACAGAACUUUCCAGAGAUGGAUUGGUGCCUUCGGGAACUGUGAGACAGGUGCUGCAUGGCUGUCGUCAGCUCGUGUUGUGAAAUGUUGGGUUAAGUCCCGCAACGAGCGCAACCCUUAUCCUUUGUUGCCAGCGGUCCGGCCGGGAACUCAAAGGAGACUGCCAGUGAUAAACUGGAGGAAGGUGGGGAUGACGUCAAGUCAUCAUGGCCCUUACGACCAGGGCUACACACGUGCUACAAUGGCGCAUACAAAGAGAAGCGACCUCGCGAGAGCAAGCGGACCUCAUAAAGUGCGUCGUAGUCCGGAUUGGAGUCUGCAACUCGACUCCAUGAAGUCGGAAUCGCUAGUAAUCGUGGAUCAGAAUGCCACGGUGAAUACGUUCCCGGGCCUUGUACACACCGCCCGUCACACCAUGGGAGUGGGUUGCAAAAGAAGUAGGUAGCUUAACCUUCGGGAGGGCGCUUACCACUUUGUGAUUCAUGACUGGGGUGAAGUCGUAACAAGGUAACCGUAGGGGAACCUGCGGUUGGAUCACCUCCUUA